Molecule: long non-coding RNA, 3790 nt
Organism: Mirounga angustirostris (Northern elephant seal)
Lineage: Eukaryota; Metazoa; Chordata; Mammalia; Carnivora; Phocidae
Exons: 3
Source: RefSeq, a predicted model, not a curated record
UACGCUGCCGUGGUCUGCUGCCCCCAGUCGGCCCCCGCGCGUCCAGCAUCUCGCCUUGGACUCCUCUGGCUCGGAACAGCCAGGUUUUAACUCUUCGCUGCGGGGGCCCUCGGGCCUCUCUCUCAAGAGCGGUGCCACCGCCCCGUCCAUCCUCGACUUCUGCCUCCCUCCCUCUUUCUCACAGGCGCCUGAAAACCCUUAUUUGCGCAUUCACUCACGCUUGAGGGUGGGGCGGGGCGGGGGGCGUGGGGACGGCUAAGAUAUGGCAGAAAAUGUUAACAGCUCUGAGGCACUAGUCCUUUCGUUGCUCGUCGCAGAGCCUAAACUCGGUGAGUUUUGGCCCAGACAAAGAACAAUCCGAAACCGAACGCUUGGCCUCAGUGCCCUUCUUGGGCUCCUUCCUGCCCUCGACUCCUGCUGUAGGUGGAAACCUUUUAUAGGCUCUUUGUGACGCCUCCCCAGGCACACCCAGACGCCAAACUGCAGUGAAAAACACGUUCCAGUUCCUCGGUGAACACGGUGUGAAAGGUGGAUUGAGGCAAUUGACAGAACACAAAUUUGAAACCAGGAAGUCUAGCUCCAGAAUCUAGAAGUUUGGGUAUCUCUAAGCAAUAGGACACUACAGACCCUAUUAAGGGCCUGUUAGAAGACCUCAAGAAGAUGAUUUUAUAAAAUAUUUACCAUUGCUUUCUGUUGCUAGCCAGCAAACUACUGUUUAGAUCCUUCUGAACUAUAUCAGUGAUGGAUUUCUAAAAUUUUAGAAAUCAGUGACCCAAGGCUAUUAUGUAAUAUAUUUGUCAUAUUUCUAUAUUAGGAAGGAUUCAUGAGAUGUGCAGGAAAUAAUAAUACACUGCUACAUGUAAUUUAACUUAAUGUUUGUGGAAAUGUUUAUAGAAUAUAAUGGAAAGGGUAUACAUUUUGGGAUUGGAAAGACCUAUAUAUGAAUGCCCCAUUCUGCUACUUGCUAGUUCUGUAACAUUGAAAAGUUUAGUUUCCUCAUCUGUAAAAUGAGAAUAAUAGAUGUAUUUCAUAGGAUUCAGUAAAAAGAGAAUGAAAUAAUGAAUGUGAAACUCUUAAUAGAGCUCAAUAUAUAGUAUCAAUUACUUACGGAAUUUUUUUCCCUCAUCAACUGGGGCAGUUCCUAAACAAACGUCUAAACAAAUUCAUUAAAAUCACAAAGCUGCUAUGCAAUAACAUAGACAGUUGUGUUAAAAUUAAUGGUAUCCCAUGUCAGAGAAAACCAAUCACUAAAGGGGCUAAGAAGGAUAAUAUUAAAAUUCCAUCUUUACCCACAGUCUUUUCUGUGUAGGUAUUCUGAAGGAUAAAACAAUGUACUUGGAAGCCAUAGUAGAAUAUAACAGAAAAGUAUUCACAUGCUUAUGAAGGUUCUCUAAUUACAAAAGAAGAGAUACAUAACAGAUCAAAUGCAUGUGUCACAGUCAUUUUACCUAUCGACUGACAGCCCAGAAGGCAGAAUUGUGGCUUCGCAGAGAUGUCAAUGUCCUAAUCCCAGAACCUGUGAAUGUAUUAUCUUAUGUGGCAAAAUGGACAUUGCAGGUUUGGUUAAGGUUAAGGACCUUGAGAUGGGAAGAUUAUCUUGUAUUAGUCAAUUGGGCCCAAUCUAAUCACAUGAAUCCUUGAAAGUGGAGAAACUUUCUUGGCUGUGGUCAAAGGUAAAGAUGACAAUGGAGGUAUGGCUUUGAAGAUGAAAUAAAGGGGCCAUGAGCUGAGGAAUGUAAAUGGCUUCCAGAAACAGGAAAAGACAAGGAAAUGAAUUCUAUUCUAAAGCCUCUGGAAAGGGACAGUGUUGUCAGUGCCUUGACUUCAGGCCUGUGAGACCUGUAUUAGACCCCUAAACCAUAGAAAUAGAUACUACAUUUAUGUUGUCUCGAGCCACUAAGUUUAUGGUAAUUUGUUAUAGUAGUAAUAGAAAACUAAUACAGACAGUAGAAUAGCCUACCCUAAGGAAAUUAAGACAAAGCAAAAUAUUUUUAGAUCUAAAAUUGACCAAUGUGUCCAUCUACUGUAUCACUACACAUAUAUGUCAUGGAUAACAAUUAUAAGAAAUUGAGUCAACUACUAGUUGACAAAAAUAUGGAAGAUAUUUUUAGCAAUGAGCUCUAAAACUAAUACAGUACAGAAAGUAAUAGCCAUACCAAGGUCUUCAGUGAUUAUGAGAUAAUUUUUUUAAGAGAGAGAGGAGAGGGGUGGGGAAUGGGCAGAGAUAGAGGGAGAGAAAAUCUUAAGCAGGCUCCACACCCAGUGCAGAGCCAAGCACGGGGCUCCAUCUCACAACCCUGAGAUCAUGACCUGAGCUGAAAUCAAAAGUUAGACACUUAACUGAGCCACUCAGGUGCCCCAAGUGAUUAUGAGAUUAUUUUAACUUUGUAGGCAAUGUCACCAAAUUCUUAGCAUCAAAUUAUAAUAAAUAUCCAUCAAACGUGGGGGCCUGGAGCUUAUAAAUUGUGCUGAUUACAUUUCAGCUGGCCAGGUAUAAGCCAAGGAUAGAUAACAGUAGAUCCCCAAACAGCUUUUAGACAUGUUGUAGUAGAAUAAUUAUUGGCAUGCCAUGAAAAAGAAAUGCUAUCAAGACUUACUAAUACAGAUGCUGAAUCAGUGCAGGGAAGCUAAAGCAGCUGUUAGCCAAUCAUGAUCAUAGAGGAAAUUGAGUCAAGGUGACUUAGGAAUAGAUCUGUAAGUACAUAUAGAGCUAGAUAAUACAUAUAACUGCUAGCCAAGAUAGAUUACAAAUCAAUACACGUGGCCAAAAUUUUCUUCCUUGUUUCCUCCAUCUCUCCCUUCUUCCUUCCCUCCCUCCCUCUCUCGUUCCUUCCUCCCUCCCUCUCUCCCUCCUUUAGUUGCUCCCUCCCUUUCUUUCUUCCUGUCUCCCAAGGCAUUUGGUAAAACUUUAUGUGGACAGUGGUUCCUUGAUAAGUACUUAUUGAAUGAAAUGUCUUUGCAGGCAGGUUAAACUAAGAAUAACACUCAACUCUACUGACUACUUAAAGUGGUUAAUAGAAAAUAGAAGUAGAUCAAGGUAAGAAGAAAAAAAAAAAUCCUGCUUUUAGUAGAGCAAGGGCUGAGUGCCUUUAAGUAAUGCCCUUUAUUUUUUUUAAAGAUUUUCUUUAUUUGACAGAGAGAGACACAGAGAGAGGGAACACAAUCGGGGAGCAGGAGAGGGAGAAGCAGGCUUCCCACUGAGCAGGGAGCCCGAUGCAGGGCUCCAUGGGGGGUUCAAUUCCAUGACCCUGGGAUCAUGACAUGAGCCAAAGGCAGACGCAACUGAGCCACCCAGGCGCCCCAAGUAAUGCCCUUUAGACUCUAUAUGCUGUAACUGCUUUUGAAUGACUCAUGUAAAUGGCAUUAUACUGUAAGUUUCUUUCAACCCUUUCAGAGAAAAAUGAAUUUCAAACUUUUUUCUCUUGAAGUAGAAUUAAAAGAAGUUAGAAAAUUAAAACUUCAGAACUAUCAGCCUUGUAAAAUAAAUAAAGGAACUUUUCCCAAAAUUCUUCUAUUGUUAACAAGGUUUGCAUUUUCUAGCCUUCUGUUUUCAUAUUGCACAAAUUAAUUCAGAAAACAAAAUGAUAUAGAGGAAAGCUUAUGAUGAAAUCAACUGAAGAAUUCUUUAUAUAUUUCCUUUAAAGUUAUAGAAAUAGUAUUAUUUAUUCUUAAGUAUUGUUUAUUCUUGCUUAAGAAUAGACUUGGAUAUCCCAAAUUAAAUUCUAGGGCUCCUCGCCUCAAAAAAAAAAAAAAAAAAAAAGGAAACAAGGUAUCUAACAAGGAAUACGAC